RNA transcript from Populus euphratica (Euphrates poplar), 2845 nucleotides. It is a transcript of the gene named cell division protein FtsY homolog, chloroplastic-like, with no coding region annotated. The record is from RefSeq and is a predicted model, not a curated record. NCBI's taxonomy places the organism in Eukaryota, Viridiplantae, Streptophyta, Magnoliopsida, Malpighiales, Salicaceae. The transcript has 5 exons.
ACUAUACAAGAACAAGAGUUCGUAAAAGAAAAUCGUUGCCAUUUGAAUUGUAAUGAUUUUUUUUCUCUUUUGGUUUGUAGGAUGCAUCGAAGAAGAGUGUGUUGAAUUUGUUAGAGAAGAAAGGGAAUAAAACUGAAUUUCAACUAGGAUUCAAGUUUUUUUUUUUGUGUGGUAUGUGAUGAUCAAGUUUGGUUUUUCAAUCUGGAGCUGUUAUGGUUGACGCUAUGUUGUCAGGAAACCGGCUGUCGCUAUGAUAGCUGGUCUUAGAGAGGCUUUAUUAGUUCAUUGCUUUUCUGAGAAGUUUGAGGUCCUAAAUACAGUCUCAUGGACUUGUGUUCUUGAGACUCUCUCUCUCUCUCUCUCUAUAUAUAUAUAUAUAUAACCUUUUUUGUUCCUAUUGGUUGCUAAAGAAAUGUGAUCUCAUUCGCUGCCGAUGCUGCAGGAAAGCUAGCAUAUAGAUUGAAGAAAUCAGGGGAAAAGAGCUGAAUUGAAGAUAAUAUUGAUCCAAGUUUCUGGCAACUGAUUUGACAUCCCAGGGAAAAAGUGCUCAUUGUGAUGAGGACUCAAAAGGUUCAUGAAUAUGUUGUUGAAUUUUGGCUCUUGACGAUGCUGUUUUACCAAAUACCAAUUCUAUCCGUUGAUUCUACUGGUAUGGAUUAAGAUUUAGAUUUAUUUUGGAGAAUUUGAAAGUUGUAGCCUUUUCUUGGCUUGCAAUUAAAGUGCAUGGUCUAUGUUUCAGAAGGACUUCCUUGUUCCUCCACACAAAUUCCGUAAUGAGUUGUGGAUGUAGAGAAAUGCAUUCUGUAUAAUUUUUCUUGAAUAUAUAUAACUAUCAAUUGUAUGGAUUAAGAAAAUUUAGAACGGCCCUUUAUUUGAAUGUUGUGUCAUAGAUCUGCUGGAAAAGCGUUGUAUCAAUUGCUUGAAUAUAUAUAACCAUCACAGGGGCUUAGUUAAAUUGCUAUUGACUCCUAGGGAUAUGAAUAAAUUUAUUACUUUGCGAAUGUAGAGGGUGUACCAGCGAGUGCAGUCAGAGGACAUAGUUCAGGGAUCUUACUGCACUACUUGUGCACAUGUGAUUAUUUUCUUUCCAUUUUUUCUCGUUCGGCUUGAAUUGUUGCUUAGUUUAUCGUUUUGUCCUUUCUGAAUCUCCCAAAAAGAGAGAUUGUCUCGUUCACAAAAGGUCUUUCCUUGGGCUUUUGCUAUCAUUCCAGAUACUUCUGGCAGCAGGUGAUACAUUAAGGGCAGCUUCCAGUGACCAGUUGGAGAUAUGGGCUGAAAGAACUGGGUGUCAGAUUGCUGUGGCUGAAGGAGAGAAGGCCUAAUCAUCAUCAGAUAGACAACUACUUUAGCCUUUUGCCAAUCUUUAAAAGUUUGAAUACUUGGCAUGGCUACUAACAUAUGAUCUUGAAGUGUUUUUCAAAUAGUUCUUUCUCAGGCUGUAAAGAAAGGGAAAGAACAAGAAUUUGAUAUUGUUUUGUGUGACAGAUCUUGAUGCAUGUCUGCAGAUAUUCCAUGAUUAGCUAUCCAACUUCUAUGUGCUUUCUACCUGUUAUGUCUUAACUGAAACCUAUAUAUAUAUAUUUAUCAGGUCUCUCCACACUAAUUACAGCCUCAUGGAUGAGUUAAAAGCAUGUAAGAAAGCUGCGGGGAAAAUAGUACGUGGUGCACCUGAUGUAAGCUGUGAUCAUGAUGUUUUAUAUUCAAGUCAUUGCUUCUGUACCAUUUAUUUCUGUCUCCAACACCAUCUUUCAUGGUCAAUUUACACAUUCCUAAUCUGAAAGAUUUUGCCAGAAAUUUUAAUCCUUUGAGAUCUCUUGUUUGGUGUUUUAUAGUUACAGUUCUAUCUGGAUUUUUUACAUAAGAUAUAUGGUUAUAAUCAUCGGUUAUGGAAAACUCGUUUUAGGGAUGAAAUAUCAUCAAGCAGUUGAUAAUUACUCUUAAAAAUUGCUUUGCACUGCCAAAGACUAAGCUUGAACAAUUCUUGUAGAAUGGAUCAGCAAAAUAUUUUAGUGAUUGCCUCUUCAUUUAUAUCGUGUAUGUUCUCAACGUUUUUGUUGGCAUUAUUAUGCCCGUGGUAAUUUUUGGAAGAAAGGAACAUUCUUAGAACAGCCAAAGGAUUAAUCCAAAAGGAGGAAAGGGAGAGAGGCCACAGUCUAAACAUGAUUAUCUAGGUGCAGAAACACGACCUAACAACCUUUUUGAGGAAUGAACAAUUAGGUUGUUGGAAUAACUGGUUUCAUUUUGACAAAACUCAAUGGUUCUGCUAGAGGCGGCUGUGUGGUCAGUGUGGAUGACGAGCCUGGCAUCCCUGUAAAGUUCGUGGGUGUUGGAGAAGGUGUAGAAGACCUUCAACCCUUUGAUGCCGAGGCUUUUGUUAAUGCCAUAUUUUCUAAGGGACGUUCAUGUCCCAGAUGGUGUGAAUAUGCAAGUCCGAUUUAAUAAUAUUGCCAGAGAUGCUUCAUCAUUUGAAAAGGUGAUUGCAGUUGGCCAUGAUGCAUAUCUAAUUUCCAAGCUAGGAAGGAAUCUUAUAAUUUCUAUCCCUGUAAACUUAUCAAAGAAGCAUGCAUCUAAAUGCACAACAUUACAGAGGACGCAAAGGCAACGGCAGCAGCUGCUGCACGCAGAAGUGAACACAAAUGACCCACAAAAAUACUAAAUUGCUUUUCUAAGAUUAUUAUGUCCUGUUUUGAGUUCAAGCACGCCCACACACUCGCACACUUUGAAAGGCACAUUAACAUAAACUAUCAGAUACCUACAACAGGAUAUCAGAAUACUGCAACGAGCAUCUCAUUCUUAUUGAACAAAUUAAAAGAACUCGUUAAUGUUUGCAGGCAAAGCAUUCAAA